UACGUAGGGCGCAAGCGUUGUCCGGAAUUAUUGGGCGUAAAGAGCUCGUAGGCGGUCUGUUGCGUCCGCUGUGAAAUCCCGGGGCUCAACCCCGGGCCUGCAGUGGAUACGGGCUGGCUGGAGGCAGGCAGGGGAGAACGGAAUUCCUGGUGUAGCGGUGAAAUGCGCAGAUAUCAGGAGGAACACCGGUGGCGAAGGCGGUUCUCUGGGCCUGUUCUGACGCUGAGGAGCGAAAGCGUGGGGAGCGAACAGG
This 253-nucleotide ribosomal RNA is filed under the name uncultured bacterium. RNAcentral describes it as "partial 16S ribosomal RNA". It matches the Rfam family "Bacterial small subunit ribosomal RNA", at positions 524 to 776 of the family's 1533-position model. The record is from RNAcentral.